UCAAUAAGCGGAGGAAAAGAAACUAACAAGGAUUCCCUUAGUAACGGCGAGUGAAGCGGGAAGAGCUCAAAUUUGUAAUCUGGCGGCUUCAAGUCGUCCGAGUUGUAGUCUGGAGAAGCGUUUUCCGUACCGGACCGUGUACAAGUCCCUUGGAACAGGGCGUCGUAGAGGGUGAGAAUCCCGUCUCUGACACGGACUGCCGGUGCUCUGUGAUGCGCUCUCGAAGAGUCGAGUUGUUUGGGAAUGCAGCUCAAAAUGGGUGGUAAAUUCCAUCUAAAGCUAAAUAUGGGCGAAAGACCGAUAGCGAACAAGUACCGUGAGGGAAAGAUGAAAAGCACUUUGGAAAGAGAGUUAAACAGUACGUGAAAUUGUUGAAAGGGAAACGCUUGAAGUCAGUCGCGUCUUCCGAGACUCAACCGGGUCAUCACCCGGCGCACUUCUCGGUGUGACGGGCCAGCAUCGAUUUCGACCGUCGGAGAAAGGCUUUGGGAAUGUGGCACCUUCGGGUGUGUUAUAGCCCUCGGUCGUAUGCGACGGUCGGGAUCGAGGACCGCAGCGUGCCCUUCACCGGGCCGGGGUUCGCCCACGUAACGCGCUUAGGAUGCUGGCGUAAUGGCUUUAA
RNAcentral lists this ribosomal RNA (622 nucleotides) under Hysterangium sp. H5057. Its description in RNAcentral is "eukaryotic LSU rRNA". It matches the Rfam family "Eukaryotic large subunit ribosomal RNA", at positions 43 to 643 of the family's 3401-position model. Lineage: Eukaryota; Fungi; Basidiomycota; Agaricomycetes; Hysterangiales; Hysterangiaceae. The record is from RNAcentral.